UACAGAGGUCCCGAGCGUUGUUCGGAUUUAUUGGGCGUAAAGGGUGCGUAGGUGGUCGGGUAAGUCUGAUGUGAAAUCUCCGAGCUUAACUCGGAAAUGGCAUUGGAUACUAUUCGGCUAGAGGGUUUGAGGGGGGACUGGAAUACUUGGUGUAGCAGUGAAAUGCGUAGAUAUCAAGUGGAACACCAGUGGCGAAGGCGAGUCCCUGGAAAACUCCUGACACUGAGGCACGAAAGCUAGGGGAGCAAACAGG
Molecule: ribosomal RNA, 253 nt
Filed under: uncultured bacterium
Lineage: Bacteria
Description: partial 16S ribosomal RNA
Rfam family: Bacterial small subunit ribosomal RNA
Source: RNAcentral